Molecule: long non-coding RNA, 3065 nt
Filed under: Sus scrofa (pig)
Lineage: Eukaryota; Metazoa; Chordata; Mammalia; Artiodactyla; Suidae
Description: lncRNA (ENSSSCG00015055966.1)
Source: RNAcentral
GGAGUCUAGACCAGGCCAUGGUCUUCUGGCCCCAGUAGACAGAAUCCCCUCACUGCAAAUCCCCAAAGUAGGUGGCUAGGGGUAGAGGGAUGACCUGUACAGAAAGCCCAGGGACACUGGCCUUCUCAGACCCAUCUGGAUUGGCUUAGGUCAGCUUCUUCACCAGGACACCAUAGACCACCUGGCCCUUUGUGCCAGCCUCAGCACCCUGCUGCCCUGUGACCCCCUCAAUCCUGAUGCUGCUGUCUCCAAGCUCCGUGAAUUUGGCAGCUAAGCAGCCUCCAGCCCCAUCUGUGUGGUGGAGACAACCUCACACAACUGUGAUGCAAAAUGAAACCAUGUAUGAAAAACUCAGGAUGUGCUUAGUUAUUCUGUCCUUUCGGUGGCUACUGUUUCUCUUUUAUUUAUUUUUUCUUUCUUUUAUUUUUCCUGGCUGUGGCAUGCAGAAGUUCCUGGGAUUGAGCCCAAGCCACAGCAGUGACAAUGCUGAAGCCUCAACCUACUAGGCCACCAUGGAGCUCCAGAAACAGGGUCAGUGCAAAUCUGCAGUUGAUGGCAGCUGGUCAAAGGCUUUUGGUCUGGAAAACUCCUCAAAGGUGAAGAAUUUACAUUGAUGAAGAGGUAAAAAGGCCCAAAUCAAAUGUAGACUCAAGUACUAGGCUGCAUAAGAUUAAAUCAGUGAAAAAACCAGGACAGUUUUUGAUGUGUGUGCAAGUGUGCGUGUGUGGAGUCUGUGGUUUAUUUGGGGUUGAUCACAAUUACCUCCAAAUGUUACAAAACCAUAAACAAAACCCUGGGAGAAUUUAAUUUGAGGCAUCCAAAUACAGUUCAACUUUAUUAAUUCAAUCUAAUUUCUUAUUUGUGGCUGUGGGCAAGCAACUUCCCAAAUUAAGGACUUUGCUUAAACAAAUGGUAAGCAGUUCAGGAAACAGUAGUUUGCAUUUAAAUUGGCACAACCAGGUAGUUUCUGCCCUGGCGCAGUGGUUAACAAAUCUGACUAGGAGCUGCGCGGUUGUGGGUUUGAUCCCUGGCCUCAAUCAAUGGGUUAAGGAUCCAGUGUUGCCGUGAGCUGUGGUGGAGGUCACAGACACGGCUCAGAUCCCAUGUUGCUGUGGCUGUGGUGUAGGCCGGCAGCUAUAGCUCUGAUCGGACUCCUAGCCUGGGAACUUCCAUAUGCGUCGGGUGUGGCCCUCAAAAGACAAAAGACAAAAUAAAUAAAUAAAUAAAUAAAUAAAUAAAUAAAUAAAUAAAUAAAUAAAUAAAAUUGGCACAACCAGAAUAUUUUCAACAGUUGGACCAUGUUAGUUUUCUUUUCCAUUCUCACGUGCACAAUGAAUUUACUCAGCCAAGAGUUUUCUAUCAUAUAGAGAUAAUCCUUGGUUCUGUUCUCACCUGGCAUCAGUUCCAAAAUAGUGUGUCAUAGGUGGAUGACUGGGGCAAAAAGGGACAUUAAUAAAAAAAAUUUUUUUUUUUGCUUUUUUGGGCCACAUCUGUGGCAUAUAGAAGUUCCCAGGCUAGAGAUCAAAUCAGAGCUGCAAUUGCUGGCCUACUCCACAACCAUAGCAAUGCUAGAUCUGAGCCACAUCUGCGACCUACACCACAGCUCAUGGCAAUGCUGGAUCCUUAACCCACUGAGCAAGGCCAGGGAUCAAACCCGUGACCUCAUGGAUACUAGUCAGGUUCAUUACUGCUGAGCCACAAGGGGAACUCCCAGACAUUUAUAAAAUUCGAAUUGUGGUCUCAUUCUGUGUUACCUCUUGUUCUUUCACUAACUGGUGCAAAGUAGCAAACAAUAAUAAGCAAAGAAAGACAGGACAUGCCUCUGCAUGUCAUGCAGCACCAGGCCCUGGAGUUGCCCCAGGAGCAGUUUGGGACUCUUGCCUUCAGGAGCCUCUCAGUCUGCUUGCAGGUCGAAGACAGCACAAUGUGGGGACAUGGGACCAUAGGAUUCAGCUUGCCCUGCCACAAAGCUUUGGUGGCUUCUUAUUUCUCAGGGCUGUGGUUGACCAGCCUCUGCCCUUCUUUCUGGCCUCAUCUCACUCCUUGCCCCCUGGCUGCCUCAGGCUUUGUCCUGAACUUUUGUGUCUGGGCAGGUGCCCCGUGGGGAGCUGGAACUGAGAACCUAGGACCCCCAACUGCUUGAGGCCACUCACUCCACUGUGGUAGCCUCCAGGGACCAGCAUGUGUUGGGCCUUGACCCUCAGGCCUGAUUCCUCACCAUAGCAGUCGAGGGCCACAGACAUGACAGAUUGAACAACCCUGAAAGAACAGGGAGCAGGCUGGAGGUCCCGGGUGGAAACCAAUGAAAAGUCAGCUUAUAGUUACCAGAAGAGAAAUGUUGGGGGGAGGGAUAAAUUAGGAGGAUGGGAUGAACACAUACACACUAAUAUAUAUAAAAUAGAUAUAUAACAAGGAUCCACUGUAUAGGAGUUCCCGCCGUGGCUCAGUGGUUAACGAAUCCAACUAGGAACCAUGAGGUUGCAGGUUCGAUCCCUGGCCUCGAUCAGUGGGUUAAGGACCCGGUGUUGCCAUGGGCUGUGGUAUAGGUCGCAGAUGCAGCUCAGAUUCAGCGUUGCUGUCUGUGGCUGCAAUGUAGACCGGCGGCUACAGCUCCAAUUCAACCCCUAGCCUGGGAACCUCCAUAUGCUGCCGGUGUGGCCCUAGAAAAAGAUAAAAAAAAGGAUCCACUGUAUAGCACAGGGAAAUCUACUCAGUACUGUGUAAUAACCCAGAUGGGAACAGAACCUGAAAAAGAAUGGAUGGAUAUAUAACUGAUUCACUGGGCCAUAUACCUGAAACUAACAGAACAUUGUUAGUUAACUAUGGAGUUCCUUUCAUGGCACAAACGAAUCCGACUAGGAACCAUGGGGUUGCGGGUUCGAUCCCUAGCCUCGCUCAGUGGGUUAAGGAUCUGGUGUUGCCCUGAGCUGUGGUGUAGGUCGCAGACAUGGCUUGGAUCUGGCGUCACUAUGGCUCUAGUGUAGGCCAGCAGCUUAUAGCUCCGAUUUGACCCCUAGCCUGGGAACCUCCAUAUGCCGUGGGGGCGGCCCUUAAAAAAAAAAAAA